RNAcentral lists this ribosomal RNA (529 nucleotides) under uncultured bacterium. RNAcentral's name for it is "bacterial SSU rRNA". It matches the Rfam family "Bacterial small subunit ribosomal RNA", at positions 8 to 526 of the family's 1533-position model. The record is from RNAcentral.
AGAGUUUGAUCAUGGCUCAGAUUGAACGCUGGCGGCAUGCCUAACACAUGCAAGUCGAACGGCAGCACAGAGGAGCUUGCUCCUUGGGUGGCGAGUGGCGGACGGGUGAGUAAUGCAUCGGGACCUACCCAGACGUGGGGGAUAACGUAGGGAAACUUACGCUAAUACCGCAUACGUCCUACGGGAGAAAGCGGGGGAUCUUCGGACCUCGCGCGGUUGGACGGACCGAUGUGCGAUUAGCUAGUUGGUAAGGUAAUGGCUUACCAAGGCGACGAUCGCUAGCUGGUCUGAGAGGAUGAUCAGCCACACUGGGACUGAGACACGGCCCAGACUCCUACGGGAGGCAGCAGUGGGGAAUAUUGGACAAUGGGCGCAAGCCUGAUCCAGCAAUGCCGCGUGUGUGAAGAAGGCCCUCGGGUUGUAAAGCACUUUUAUCAGGAACGAAAUACCAUGGGUUAAUACCCGAUGGGGCUGACGGUACCUGAGGAAUAAGCACCGGCUAACUUCGUGCCAGCAGCCGCGGUAAUAC